This 1069-nucleotide long non-coding RNA is filed under the name Triticum aestivum (bread wheat). RNAcentral's name for it is "long non-coding RNA (TAES_LNC007936)". The record is from RNAcentral. Lineage: Eukaryota; Viridiplantae; Streptophyta; Magnoliopsida; Poales; Poaceae.
CUUAAUUGCAUUCGCAAGCACAUCCAUAUUGGAGCUAAGGUAAAAAAUGACAUUGUAAUUUUGUUAAUAUUUUUUGUAUUGAUGUACUAUUGUGAAUAAUGUGCAUGUUGCUGUAAAUAUUAUAUUUGUAGAUAAACCAUUGCCCGUCUUAGACAUUGAAAAAAAUAUAUUUUCAAGCAACGCUUUCCCCUCAAUAUUUUCCCGCAAACGCUUUCCCUCCAUAUGUUCCGCCACCCGUUUCCCGCCAACCCCUUCCCGCCAUAUCUUCCUGCCACCCGUUUCUCGCCAUAUGUUCCCGCCAACCCUUUCCCUCCAUAUCGCAGUCGUUCUUUCCCGCCAUUUUCUCCUCUUUACCUAUAAAACCCCCUUCAGACGGAGGUGGAUAAGCAUUCGAGUGUAGUGUAGUCGAGAUGUCCCAUUAUCCUUUCGAUUGUAGUUUUCACCCUGGGAUGAGUAGCACUCUUCUGAGGCUAGCUACCGAUUUCAGGAUGGACAAUAGGAUAGUUCCAUGGGACGAUCUCACCGGUAGUGACACCAUAAUGAAUGAGUUGGCUCACCAAUUACGUAGGUCUGGGUGGCCUGAAAGGACCUAUGAGGAGGUACGUAAAGAACUUCUUAGGUUGGAUGCAAGGUGGAAGAAGGUUGUGGAGACGAAGAGUGAAACUUUUAGAAGGACUGCAGAAAACCAUCCAUUUUUAUGGACUGAGGAGAGCGAGGACGAAGAUGAUAUCUUCAUGCCGCCGCUUCCGGGUUCUGCAUCGUCAAAGGGCAAGAGUUCUGCAUCAUCCAAGGGCAAGAGUACUGCAUCCUCGAAGGGCAAGAGUUCUUCAUCGUCCAAGGGUAAGAGUUCUGCAUCCUCGAAGGGCAAGAGUUCUGCAUCGACGGAGGAUGACGAUGAUGCCUUCAUGUAGUUUUUAAGCUGUAUUCCAGUUGUACCGUUUAAUUCAGAUGUACUUGCAUUAUUAAUUUGUACUCUCUUAUUGUAAGGCAUUAUGUUCUGUCUUAAUUUCAUUUUAUAGUUGUUGCACGAUGCUCGAUAAUUAGUGGAGGGAAAGAAAAUGCCACUACU